UUUGCUCUUUAAAAAUCUGGAUCAAGCUGAAAAUUGAAACACAGAACAACGAAAGUUGUUCGUGAGUCUCUCAAAUUUUCGCAACACGAUGAUGAAUCGUAAGAAACAUCUUCGGGUUGUGAGGUUAAGCGACUAAGCGUACACGGUGGAUGCCCUGGCAGUCAGAGGCGAUGAAGGACGUGCUAAUCUGCGAUAAGCGCCGGUAAGGUGAUAUGAACCGUUAUAACCGGCGAUUUCCGAAUGGGGAAACCCAGUGUGAUUCGUCACACUAUCAUUAACUGAAUCCAUAGGUUAAUGAGGCGAACCGGGGGAACUGAAACAUCUAAGUACCCCGAGGAAAAGAAAUCAACCGAGAUUCCCCCAGUAGCGGCGAGCGAACGGGGAGGAGCCCAGAGCCUGAAUCAGCAUGUGUGUUAGUGGAAGCGUCUGGAAAGGCGCGCGAUACAGGGUGACAGCCCCGUACACAAAAGCGCAUGUGCUGUGAGCUCGAUGAGUAGGGCGGGACACGUGGUAUCCUGUCUGAAUAUGGGGGGACCAUCCUCCAAGGCUAAAUACUCCUGACUGACCGAUAGUGAACCAGUACCGUGAGGGAAAGGCGAAAAGAACCCCGGCGAGGGGAGUGAAAAAGAACCUGAAACCGUGUACGUACAAGCAGUGGGAGCACAGGUUUACCUGUGUGACUGCGUACCUUUUGUAUAAUGGGUCAGCGACUUAUAUUCUGUAGCAAGGUUAACCGUAUAGGGGAGCCGGAGGGAAACCGAGUCUUAACCGGGCGUUAAGUUGCAGGGUAUAGACCCGAAACCCGGUGAUCUAGCCAUGGGCAGGUUGAAGGUUGGGUAACACUAACUGGAGGACCGAACCGACUAAUGUUGAAAAAUUAGCGGAUGACCUGUGGCUGGGGGUGAAAGGCCAAUCAAACCGGGAGAUAGCUGGUUCUCCCCGAAAGCUAUUUAGGUAGCGCCUCGUGAAUUCAUCUCCGGGGGUAGAGCACUGUUUCGGCUAGGGGGCCAUCCCGGCUUACCAACCCGAUGCAAACUGCGAAUACCGGAGAAUGUUAUCACGGGAGACACACGGCGGGUGCUAACGUCCGUCGUGAAGAGGGAAACAACCCAGACCGCCAGCUAAGGUCCCAAAGUCAUGGUUAAGUGGGAAACGAUGUGGGAAGGCCCAGACAGCCAGGAUGUUGGCUUAGAAGCAGCCAUCAUUUAAAGAAAGCGUAAUAGCUCACUGGUCGAGUCGGCCUGCGCGGAAGAUGUAACGGGGCUAAACCAUGCACCGAAGCUGCGGCAGCGACACUCAGGUGUUGUUGGGUAGGGGAGCGUUCUGUAAGCCUGUGAAGGUGGCCUGUGAGGGUUGCUGGAGGUAUCAGAAGUGCGAAUGCUGACAUAAGUAACGAUAAAGCGGGUGAAAAGCCCGCUCGCCGGAAGACCAAGGGUUCCUGUCCAACGUUAAUCGGGGCAGGGUGAGUCGACCCCUAAGGCGAGGCCGAAAGGCGUAGUCGAUGGGAAACGGGUUAAUAUUCCCGUACUUGGUGUUACUGCGAAGGGGGGNNNNNNNNNNNNNNNNNNNNGGGGGGACGGAGAAGGCUAUGUUGGCCGGGCGACGGUUGUCCCGGUUUAAGCGUGUAGGUGUGUGUUCCAGGUAAAUCCGGUUCACUUUAACACUGAGGCGUGACGACGAGGCACUACGGUGCUGAAGCAACAAAUGCCCUGCUUCCAGGAAAAGCCUCUAAGCAUCAGGUAACAUCAAAUCGUACCCCAAACCGACACAGGUGGUCAGGUAGAGAAUACCAAGGCGCUUGAGAGAACUCGGGUGAAGGAACUAGGCAAAAUGGUGCCGUAACUUCGGGAGAAGGCACGCUGACACGUAGGUGAAGUGAUUUACUCAUGGAGCUGAAGUCAGUCGAAGAUACCAGCUGGCUGCAACUGUUUAUUAAAAACACAGCACUGUGCAAACACGAAAGUGGACGUAUACGGUGUGACGCCUGCCC
This 1990-nucleotide ribosomal RNA is filed under the name Salmonella enterica subsp. enterica serovar Paratyphi A. RNAcentral describes it as "bacterial LSU rRNA". It matches the Rfam family "Bacterial large subunit ribosomal RNA", at positions 1 to 1864 of the family's 2925-position model. Lineage: Bacteria; Pseudomonadati; Pseudomonadota; Gammaproteobacteria; Enterobacterales; Enterobacteriaceae. The record is from RNAcentral.